UUCCAAAGUGUUGAGUUCAGUACAGGGUUUAUUCCCCUGUUCUGGUAAUUAAACUUUGGUACAGAAAUUGACAAAGGGAUUCUGUUUAAAGUUUGUGGUGGUCUGUCCUCACUUAUUAUUAAACUUUGUCUACAUUU
Erpetoichthys calabaricus (reedfish) is the source of this 137-nucleotide small nucleolar RNA. The record is from Ensembl. NCBI's taxonomy places the organism in Eukaryota, Metazoa, Chordata, Cladistia, Polypteriformes, Polypteridae.